CCUACGGGUGGCAGCAGUGAGGAAUAUUGGUCAAUGGACGAGAGUCUGAACCAGCCAAGUCGCGUGAAGGAUGACUGCCCUAUGUGUUGUAAACUUCUUUUAUCUGGGAAUAAAACAGGGUAUGCAUACCCCCUCGUAUGUACCAUAUGAAUAAGGAUCGGCUAACUCCGUGCCAGCAGCCGCGGUAAUACGGAGGGUCCGAGCGUUAUCCGGAAUUAUUUGGUUUAAAGGGAGCGUAGGGGGACAGUUAAGUCAGGUGGGAAAAUUUGGGGGCUAAACGCAAACAUGCAGUUGAAACUGGCAGUAUAGAGUACAGGAGAGGUGGGCGGAAUUCGUGGUGUAGCGGUGAAAUGCUUAGAUAUCACGAAGAACUCCGAUUGCGAAGGCAGCUAACUGGAGUGCAACUGACACUGAGGCACGAAAGCGUGGGUAUCAAACAGGAUUAGAUACCCGAGUAGUC
This 460-nucleotide ribosomal RNA is filed under the name uncultured bacterium. RNAcentral's name for it is "partial 16S ribosomal RNA". It matches the Rfam family "Bacterial small subunit ribosomal RNA", at positions 338 to 795 of the family's 1533-position model. The record is from RNAcentral.